Molecule: long non-coding RNA, 749 nt
Filed under: Pongo abelii (Sumatran orangutan)
Lineage: Eukaryota; Metazoa; Chordata; Mammalia; Primates; Hominidae
Description: lincRNA
Source: RNAcentral
UCACCCAGUCUUGGUGUAUGUAGAUGUUUUCUUAAUAUUUCUUAAUAUUCUAUUUAGGAUGAGCUUAUCAUGGAACAUAAGAAAAAUAAAACAGAUGUCAGCCUGUGUAUGAAGAAUUCAUCCACAAGGUUUGACCGAAGACCAUGAGACUUCCUACCCACAGUGAGCUAAAAGGACGCUUUUGUCAGAGUGGGGAAAUAAAAGGGCUUUAUGGGAAGGAAGAUAAGAACAGAUGAGUCAGAGGUUUCUGCUUAAUGCUCACUCUUCAAUUCUUUCCCAAGCAAAACCAAGAAUCUUCUUGGGCUAGGCCCCAGUUUGGGGUUCACCUGCCUUGCAGCAACAUGGCACCAAACAUGGGGCAGAAGAGAGAAGACAACAGCAUGACAGACGGAGAAAGAAAUGGCAGUUGGCAAGGUGGUAAUGAGAGACGGCAGUUGGCAAGACAGUGAGAGACAGCAAGAGAUGGUGGUACAGCCAAGCAGACAGGCAAGUGGCCAUACUGCUGCUGCCUCAUGUGGGAUUCGGCAGGCUGGUGGGUUAUCAGUCCUCACGUGGGACCCUCCCACCAUGGCAGCUGAGCGCAUCCAAGCUGGGGGAUCCUGAAGAGACCUUCACCUGGGUGCCAUGUGGAAGAUUGGUCAGCACCAUUUUGACUCCUGUGGAUGGUUCCAGGUAAAGACAAUCCUUGCACAAGGCUUCCAACUCGACCCGUCUACUGACCUGGAGAAUGAAAGUGUCCUGCCUCUGGG